RNAcentral lists this ribosomal RNA (253 nucleotides) under uncultured bacterium. RNAcentral describes it as "partial 16S ribosomal RNA". It matches the Rfam family "Bacterial small subunit ribosomal RNA", at positions 524 to 776 of the family's 1533-position model. The record is from RNAcentral.
UACGUAGGCAGCAAGCGUUGUUCGGAGUUACUGGGCGUAAAGGGUGCGUAGGCGGGUCUUUAAGUCAGGGGUGAAAUCCUGGAGCUCAACUCCAGAACUGCCUUUGAUACUGAGGAUCUUGAGUUCGGGAGAGGUGAGUGGAACUGCGAGUGUAGAGGUGAAAUUCGUAGAUAUUCGCAAGAACACCAGUGGCGAAGGCGGCUCACUGGCCCGAUACUGACGCUGAGGCACGAAAGCGUGGGGAGCAAACAGG